RNAcentral lists this long non-coding RNA (279 nucleotides) under Mytilus galloprovincialis (Mediterranean mussel). The record is from RNAcentral. Lineage: Eukaryota; Metazoa; Mollusca; Bivalvia; Mytilida; Mytilidae.
CUAAUUUAAUUUGGAAUGAGUGAUUAGGCCAAGUGCAAAAAGGUAAUAUUUACAGUUUUCGGAACAUCUCUUGACUUGUCAAUAGGGGUAUGGAUGUGUAUUGGCUAAAUUUGUAGGAUGUGUGACUGCAAUCUUUCUGAAUUUUGGAUAUAUUUUUGGACUAGUACUAUACAUUACACACACAAAAAAUUUGACAAAAAGAUUCGGUGCAAUUUUUUUAAUGAGACAAAAAGUUAUAAAGAACUGAUAGAGGUAUUAAUUGUGGUCUGUGGCCAAUAA